UGGGGAAUAUUGCACAAUGGGCGCAAGCCUGAUGCAGCCAUGCCGCGUGUGUGAAGAAGGCCUUCGGGUUGUAAAGCACUUUCAGCGGGGAGGAAGGCGAUAAGGUUAAUAACCUUGUCGAUUGACGUUACCCGCAGAAGAAGCACCGGCUAACUCCGUGCCAGCAGCCGCGGUAAUACGGAGGGUGCAAGCGUUAAUCGGAAUUACUGGGCGUAAAGCGCACGCAGGCGGUUUGUUAAGUCAGAUGUGAAAUCCCCGGGCUCAACCUGGGGACUGCAUCUGAUACUGGCAAGCUUGAGUCUCGUAGAGGGGGGUAGAAUUCCAGAUGUAGCGGUGAAAUGCGUAGAGAUCUGGAGGAAUACCGGUGGCGAAGGCGGCCCCCUAGACAAAGACUGACGCUCAGGUGCGAAAGCGUGGGGAGCAAACAGG
This 429-nucleotide ribosomal RNA is filed under the name Chloroflexota bacterium. Its description in RNAcentral is "Chloroflexi bacterium partial 16S ribosomal RNA". It matches the Rfam family "Bacterial small subunit ribosomal RNA", at positions 355 to 776 of the family's 1533-position model. Lineage: Bacteria; Bacillati; Chloroflexota. The record is from RNAcentral.